GAAAUGCGAUAAGUAAUGUGAAUUGCAGAAUUCCGUGAAUCAUCGAAUCUUUGAACGCACAUUGCGCCCUCUGGUAUUCCGGGGGGCAUGCCUGUCCGAGCGUCAUUGCAACCCUCAAGCACGGCUUGUGUGAUGGGUGAUCGUCCUGUCUUUGGAAGGACGCACCUGAAAAGCAGUGACGGCGUCGUGUUCCGGUGCCCGAGCGUAUGGGGCUUUGUCUUCCGCUCUUGUGGCCUGGCCGACUUGUCCAGUCUAUACCAACUUCUCGUGGUUGACCUCGGAUCAGGUAGGGUUACCCGCUGAACUUAA
This 309-nucleotide unclassified non-coding RNA is filed under the name uncultured Ascosphaera. RNAcentral describes it as "sequence contains ITS1". The stretch from base 1 to 105 matches the Rfam family "5.8S ribosomal RNA", at positions 50 to 154 of the family's 154-position model. The record is from RNAcentral. Lineage: Eukaryota; Fungi; Ascomycota; Eurotiomycetes; Onygenales; Ascosphaeraceae.